CAUGCAAGUCGAACGGUAACGCGGGUUUCGGCCUGGCGACGAGUGGCGAACGGGUGAGUAAUAUAUCGGAACGUGCCCAAGAGUGGGGGAUAGCCCGGCGAAAGCCGGAUUAAUACCGCAUACGAUCUCAGGAUGAAAGUGGGGGACCGCAAGGCCUCACGCUCCUGGAGCGGCCGAUAUCUGAUUAGCUAGUUGGUGGGGUAAAGGCCUACCAAGGCGACGAUCAGUAGCUGGUCUGAGAGGACGACCAGCCACACUGGGACUGAGACACGGCCCAGACUCCUACGGGAGGCAGCAGUGGGGAAUUUUGGACAAUGGGGGCAACCCUGAUCCAGCAAUGCCGCGUGUGUGAAGAAGGCCUUCGGGUUGUAAAGCACUUUUGUCCGGAAAGAAAUCCCCUGGGUGAAUAUCCCGGGGGGAUGACGGUACCGGAAGAAUAAGCACCGGCUAACUACGUGCCAGCAGCCGCGGUAAUACGAAGGGGGCUAGCGUUGCUCGGAAUUACUGGGCGUAAAGGGAGCGUAGGCGGACAUUUAAGUCAGAGGUGAAAUCCCGGAGCUUAACUUCGGAACUGCCUUUGAUACUGGGUGUCUUGAGUGUGAGAGAGGUAUGUGGAACUCCGAGUGUAGAGGUGAAAUUCGUAGAUAUUCGGAAGAACACCAGUGGCGAAGGCGACAUACUGGCUCAUUACUGACGCUGA
Molecule: ribosomal RNA, 700 nt
Filed under: uncultured bacterium
Lineage: Bacteria
Description: bacterial SSU rRNA
Rfam family: Bacterial small subunit ribosomal RNA
Source: RNAcentral